AACGCACAUUGCACUAUUUAUAGUAUAUUUGAUUCAGUGUUAUUAAACAAAUUCAUCAUAAAAAUGUAAUUAAACUCAAUGUUUUCUUAUUAAAAUGAAUCAAUUCAAACAAUAUUUGGUCACUUCAAGUGAUAGUAUUGAAUGAAUCUUUUAAAACUAACCUGAGUCAAGUAAGAUUACCUGCUGAACUUAA
RNAcentral lists this unclassified non-coding RNA (193 nucleotides) under uncultured fungus. RNAcentral's name for it is "partial contains 5.8S rRNA and ITS2". The record is from RNAcentral. Lineage: Eukaryota; Fungi.